RNAcentral lists this transfer RNA (40 nucleotides) under Cenchrus flaccidus. RNAcentral describes it as "partial tRNA-Leu". Lineage: Eukaryota; Viridiplantae; Streptophyta; Magnoliopsida; Poales; Poaceae. The record is from RNAcentral.
GACUUUAUAAGUCGUGAGGGUUCAAGUCCCUCUAUCCCCA